This 253-nucleotide ribosomal RNA is filed under the name uncultured bacterium. RNAcentral's name for it is "partial 16S ribosomal RNA". It matches the Rfam family "Bacterial small subunit ribosomal RNA", at positions 524 to 776 of the family's 1533-position model. The record is from RNAcentral.
UACGGAGGGGGCUAGCGUUGUUCGGAAUUACUGGGCGUAAAGCGCACGUAGGCGGCUGUGUAAGUUAGAGGUGAAAGCCCGGGGCUCAACCCCGGAAUAGCCUUUAAGACUGCAUCGCUUGAACGUCGGAGAGGUGAGUGGAAUUCCGAGUGUAGAGGUGAAAUUCGUAGAUAUUCGGAAGAACACCAGUGGCGAAGGCGGCUCACUGGACGACUGUUGACGCUGAGGUGCGAAAGCGUGGGGAGCAAACAGG